Molecule: ribosomal RNA, 485 nt
Filed under: uncultured bacterium
Lineage: Bacteria
Description: partial 16S ribosomal RNA
Rfam family: Bacterial small subunit ribosomal RNA
Source: RNAcentral
AUUGAACGCUGGCGGCAGGCUUAACACAUGCAAGUCGAGCGGGGAAAGGUAGCUUGCUACCUGACCUAGCGGCGGACGGGUGAGUAAUGCUUAGGAAUCUGCCUAUUAGUGGGGGACAACAUCUCGAAAGGGAUGCUAAUACCGCAUACGUCCUACGGGAGAAAGCAGGGGACCUUCGGGCCUUGCGCUAAUAGAUGAGCCUAAGUCGGACUAGCUAGUUGGUGGGGUAAAGGCCUACCAAGGCGACGAUCUGUAGCGGGUCUGAGAGGAUGAUCCGCCACACUGGGACUGAGACACGGCCCAGACUCCUACGGGAGGCAGCAGUGGGGAAUAUUGGACAAUGGGGGGAACCCUGAUCCAGCCAUGCCGCGUGUGUGAAGAAGGCCUUUUGGUUGUAAAGCACUUUAAGCGGGGAGGAGGCUACCGAGAUUAAUACUCUUGGAUAGUGGACGUUACUCGCAGAAUAAGCACCGGCUAACUCUGUG